GCCUUCGUGGUAUAACGGUUAACACACUCGGCGUGUAUUCGAGAGUUCCAGGUUCGAGUCCCGGCUAAGGCA
Molecule: non-coding RNA, 72 nt
Organism: Stegodyphus mimosarum
Lineage: Eukaryota; Metazoa; Arthropoda; Arachnida; Araneae; Eresidae
Source: Rfam